This 253-nucleotide ribosomal RNA is filed under the name uncultured bacterium. RNAcentral's name for it is "partial 16S ribosomal RNA". It matches the Rfam family "Bacterial small subunit ribosomal RNA", at positions 524 to 776 of the family's 1533-position model. The record is from RNAcentral.
UACGUGAGUCCCAAGCAUUGCCCGGAAUUACUGGGUGUAAAGCGUUUGUAGGCGGGUGGAUAAGUCAGGUAUGAAAGACCGAAGCUCAACUUCGCGUUUGUGCUUGAAACUGUCCAUCUAGAAUUAGGGAGAGGUAAGCGGAAUUCUAAGUGUAGGGGUGCAAUCCGUAGAUACUUAGAGGAACACCAAAAGCGAAGGCAGCUUACUGGAACUAUAUUGACGCUCAGAAACGAAAGCGUGGGGAGCGAAAAGG